RNAcentral lists this ribosomal RNA (253 nucleotides) under uncultured bacterium. RNAcentral's name for it is "partial 16S ribosomal RNA". It matches the Rfam family "Bacterial small subunit ribosomal RNA", at positions 524 to 776 of the family's 1533-position model. The record is from RNAcentral.
UACGUAGGGGGCAAGCGUUGUCCGGAUUCAUUGGGCGUAAAGGGCGUGUAGGCGGCCAGGUAGGUCGGUUGUGAAAACUGGAGGCUCAACCUUCAGAGGUCGACCGAAACCAUCUGGCUAGAGUCCGGGAGAGGAGAGUGGAAUUCCUGGUGUAGCGGUGAAAUGCGCAGAUAUCAGGAAGAACACCCGUGGCGAAAGCGGCUCGCUGGAACGGUACUGACGCUGAGACGCGAAAGCGUGGGGAGCGAACAGG